UACGGGGGGAGCAAGCGUUGUUCGGAUUUACUGGGCGUAAAGGGCGCGUAGGCGGUCAGCACAAGUCAGUUGUGAAAUCUCCGGGCUUAACUCGGAAAGGUCAACUGAUACUGUGCGACUAGAGUGCGGAAGGGGCAACUGGAAUUCUUGGUGUAGCGGUGAAAUGCGUAGAUAUCAAGAGGAACACCGGUGGCGAAGGCGGGACUCUGGGCCGAUACUGACGCUGAGACGCGAAAGCGUGGGGAGCGAACAGG
This 254-nucleotide ribosomal RNA is filed under the name uncultured bacterium. RNAcentral describes it as "partial 16S ribosomal RNA". It matches the Rfam family "Bacterial small subunit ribosomal RNA", at positions 524 to 776 of the family's 1533-position model. The record is from RNAcentral.